CGGCGUUCGAAUUGUAGUCUGGA
This 23-nucleotide small nuclear RNA is filed under the name Arabidopsis thaliana (thale cress). RNAcentral's name for it is "snRNA_05085". Lineage: Eukaryota; Viridiplantae; Streptophyta; Magnoliopsida; Brassicales; Brassicaceae. The record is from RNAcentral.